UUUGGUUUUAUUUAUAGAUGCCAGAAGUGGGUGGAGAAUUGUAGGAGAGCAGACUUAGAAGAUAAAACACCUGAUCAACUAAAUAAACAUUAUCGAUUAUGUGCCAAACACUUUGAGACCUCUAUGAUCUGUAGAACUAGUCCUUAUAGGACAGUUCUUCGAGAUAAUGCAAUACCAACAAUAUUUGAUCUUACCAGUCAUUUGAACAAUCCACAUAGUAGACACAGAAAACGAAUAAAAGAAUUGAGUGAAGAUGAAAUCAGGACACUGAAACAGAAAAAAAGUAAGUGAUAGUGUUAAUGACUCAACUUCUGAAUGCCUUUUAAAAAGGCCUUGACCUGUUGAUGAAACUUCUGAACAGGAGCAGAAACAUAAAGAAAUAAACAACAGCAAUGCUCAGAACCCCAGUGCAGAAGAAGGAGGUGAAGAA
This is a non-coding RNA of Ceratotherium simum simum (southern white rhinoceros), 430 nucleotides long. The record is from RefSeq and is a predicted model, not a curated record. Lineage: Eukaryota; Metazoa; Chordata; Mammalia; Perissodactyla; Rhinocerotidae.